GGGGAUUUAGCUUAGUGGUAUAAGUACCUGCCUGGCAAGCACAAGGUUGUGAGUUCAAUCCCCA
Molecule: transfer RNA, 64 nt
Organism: Cavia porcellus (domestic guinea pig)
Lineage: Eukaryota; Metazoa; Chordata; Mammalia; Rodentia; Caviidae
Rfam family: tRNA
About the family: Transfer RNA (tRNA) molecules are approximately 80 nucleotides in length.
Source: Rfam